AGUGGCCUUGCUGCCACGAU
RNAcentral lists this small nuclear RNA (20 nucleotides) under Arabidopsis thaliana (thale cress). RNAcentral describes it as "snRNA_13128". The record is from RNAcentral. Lineage: Eukaryota; Viridiplantae; Streptophyta; Magnoliopsida; Brassicales; Brassicaceae.